Molecule: long non-coding RNA, 415 nt
Filed under: Dromaius novaehollandiae (emu)
Lineage: Eukaryota; Metazoa; Chordata; Aves; Casuariiformes; Dromaiidae
Description: lncRNA (ENSDNVG00000006056.1)
Source: RNAcentral
UGCCCUCCCUUGAGGGAUAACCUAGGGAUGAUAUUUCCUGCUACAUCCUAAUCGGAUAGAGAAGUCGCCCUUGCAACAUAAAACCUGUAAUCCUCGUGGGACUGAUGGCCCUCAGUGCUUAGCUGCACAGGCAGCCCUGGGAAACGGUCUCCUCCUCCAGAAUGUCGUGCAGCUGCAGAACUCGCUGCCGAAGGACAACAUGCAAGUAAAACUGUCAGGACAACAUCCCAGCUAUGCGUAACAAGAUGAACUUGAAAGCCUGAGGAAGACAAAGUAAACCUAGACACAGGAGCUCAACCUGAGCAGCCUUCAGCUGGAUGUGAGAGAGAGGACUCGCACCUGGCUCUGUUUUGCUCAUUGUUAUCAGAAGCAGCCUCGUGCUUCAAUUCAAGGCAAUUGGCUGCAGUAAGGUAUG